Molecule: ribosomal RNA, 987 nt
Filed under: human gut metagenome
Description: bacterial LSU rRNA
Rfam family: Bacterial large subunit ribosomal RNA
Source: RNAcentral
AACUAUAACGGUCCUAAGGUAGCGAAAUUCCUUGUCAGGUAAGUUCUGACCCGCACGAAAGGCGUAACGAUUUGGGCGCUGUCUCAGCUGUAGACUCGGUGAAGUCUUAGUACCUGUGAAGAUGCAGGUUACCCGCGACUAGACGGAAAGACCCCAUGGAGCUUCACUGCAGGUUGAUAUUGGGAUUUGAUGCAGCAUGUACAGGAUAGGUAGGAGGCUAGGAGAUGGAUACGCCAGUAUUCAAGGAGCCGCUGUUGGGAUACUACCCCUGUUGUAUUGGAUUUCUAACCGGACGACGUAGAGCCGUUGACGGGACAGUGUCAGUCGGGCAGUUUGACUGGGGCGGUCGCCUCCCAAAGAGUAACGGAGGCGCCCAAAGAUACCCUCAGCUUGGAUGGAAACCAAGCGCAGAGUGCAAAGGCAAAAGGGUGUUUGACUGCGAGACCCACAAGUCGAGCAGGGACGAAAGUCGGGCUUAGUGAUCCGGCGGUGCUGAAUGGAAAGGCCGUCGCUCAACGGAUAAAAGCUACCCUGGGGAUAACAGGCUGAUCUCCCCCAAGAGUCCACAUCGACGGGGAGGUUUGGCACCUCGAUGUCGGCUCAUCGCAUCCUGGGGCUGUAUUCGGUCCCAAGGGUUUGGCUGUUCGCCAAUUAAAGCGGUACGCGAGCUGGGUUCAGAACGUCGUGAGACAGUUCGGUCCCUAUCUGUCGUGGGCGUAGGAUAUUUGAGGAGCGCUGUUCCUAGUACGAGAGGACCGGAAUGGACGCACCGCUGGUGUAUCGGUUGUCAUGCCAAUGGCACGGCCGAGCAGCUAUGUGCGGAUCGGAUAAACGCUGAAAGCAUCUAAGCGUGAAGCCGUCUCCAAGAUAAGAUAUCCCACUGUUUACAGUUAAGACCCCUUGUAGACUACGAGGUUGAUAGGUUGGAUGUGUAAGUACAGUGAUGUAUUUAGCUAGCCAAUACUAAUAGGUCGAGGGCUUGACCUU